AUUGAACGCUGGCGGAAUGCUUUACACAUGCAAGUCGAACGGCAGCACGGGGCAACCUGGUGGCGAGUGGCGAACGGGUGAGUAAUACAUCGGAACGUGCCCAAUCGUGGGGGAUAACGUAGCGAAAGUUACGCUAAUACCGCAUACGAUCUACGGAUGAAAGCGGGGGAUCGCAAGACCUCGCGCGAAUGGAGCGGCCGAUGUCAGAUUAGGUAGUUGGUGGGGUAAAGGCUCACCAAGCCGACGAUCUGUAGCUGGUCUGAGAGGACGACCAGCCACACUGGGACUGAGACACGGCCCAGACUCCUACGGAGGCAGCAGUGGGGAAUUUUGGACAAUGGGCGCAAGCCUGAUCCAGCCAUGCCGCGUGAGUGAAGAAGGCCUUCGGGUUGUUAAAGACGUCUUUUCUAGACGGAAAGAAAAGUACGACGCGCUCUAACAUAGCGCGUGGAUGACGGUACCGUAAGAAGAAGCACCGGCUAACUACGUGCC
This 492-nucleotide ribosomal RNA is filed under the name uncultured bacterium. RNAcentral describes it as "bacterial SSU rRNA". It matches the Rfam family "Bacterial small subunit ribosomal RNA", at positions 29 to 509 of the family's 1533-position model. The record is from RNAcentral.